RNAcentral lists this ribosomal RNA (208 nucleotides) under uncultured bacterium. RNAcentral's name for it is "partial 16S ribosomal RNA". It matches the Rfam family "Bacterial small subunit ribosomal RNA", at positions 335 to 525 of the family's 1533-position model. The record is from RNAcentral.
ACUCCUACGGGGAGGCAGCAGUGGGGAAUAUUUGCACAAAUGGGGCGCAAGCCUGAUGCAGCCAUGCCGCGUGUGUGAAGAAGGGCCUUCGGGUUGUAAAGUCACUUUGCAGUUGUGAGGAAGGUGGUGUCGUUAAUAGCCGGCAUCAUUUGACGUUAGCAACAGAAGAAGCACCGGCUGAACUCCGUGCCAGCAGCCGGCGGUAAUA